UAAUUCCGCGACCGUCCAGUGCCACAAAUGUUCCUGCCACGAACGCCCCCCUCACCACAAAUGCUCGAGAAACCGCCCAAUAAAUCGAGCAAUGAUCAAGUAAAAAGUGCUCGAUGGAACUGAUCCGCCGCGGCGUCCUCCAGGUUAAAAACCAAUUCCGUGCGACCAUCUGCAUCAAUAUUCAAUCAUGCCAAUCCGUGCUUGCGUCGCGGCCUCUGGCAAUGGUAUCCACGCUGAUACUGGCCGCUUCCGAUUUUAAUCUCUCCUUCGUCUUUCCAAUCCCUCAACAUAUCUUUCCAAUCUGGUAGGUUGCCCCUCCAACGAUUUCAUUAGAUCAUGCCUGCUAGCUCAAAAUCACCGCGUUUUGUUUGGAUUAAUUGGAUUGGUCACAUCUCUGGCUUUCCAUGCAUGGCUUCGUCAAAGUGGAACCAUUCGUUCCAUUGGAACACCCCGCCGGAUCGUUGCCGGCAGCCUGCCCGCCCAUACACCGGUGCCUCUACUAACUAUGGUUCUUAGAGUUACCUGCCCGCCCUGCCGUUUAACAGAUUUUUUAGGUGUAGAUUCCAGGAGCUUUGCCUGUUCUUAGAUUUGCAGUUUCGUAUUUCAUCCUGCAAAAUUUGAUUGGCUUUAAUUCAGGUUCUUAGGUUCACGUGGAUGGAGGGAUGUCAAAAGGAAGCCAUGGAGUUGCUCAUAUUCAUAUAAUCAGCAGCGAAAUCUGAGCAAAUAUAGAAGGAGCAUAUGUAAGAUUGUCAUCUCAAGUAUAGAAGGAGCAUAUGUAAGGUGCGCUCACCCUGAAUCCCCUGAUUGCUCUAAUGAUAUUCAGUAUUGUCUUCAUUUAUCAGUGCAGACGUUGAUGAUUCAAAUAAUUACAUAUUUCACUACUCAGUUUUGAAACUACACUAACGAAGUUUGUUUAUUUACAUUGUCAUCUCAAGUACUAACUUUCUAUUGCAUAUUAGAUGUGGCAUGCCUCUUUUACAGAUUAUCUACAAUAAUCAGGUAUAUAUGUACUGAGAAAGUUUUCUCACAUAUAUAAUGUAGUUAAAGGUGUAAGUGCAUGCAGUGGCUUUAUAUGUGAUACUAUAACCAUUGUCGAAAGCCUUCAGGUUUGCUUAAUGGACUACAUUUAUCUUCGAUAACACACGAGCUGUGAAGGGAGGAACUGCGUGUUAACUGUUAAGAUUGUCAAAUAUAUUAAUAUUUUGCAGGAGAGGAAUAAUAGUGGGAUGAAGCAGUUGAUGUAUAUGGUGAGUGCAUUGAGUAAAUGGAUAUUGACAUUGGGAGGUUCGAUCUCAAGUAUCAUCAAAGGAUGGCAAAUGGCACAUCACAUUAAAUAGCUAGGUUUUUAUAUGUCAAUAAUAGUCAAUGAACGCCCUGGCUAGCUUUCCUUGCAAAAACCUCAUGGACGAUGUAACUAUAUAUUAUAUGAGCAAUAAAUCCAUGGUGACCUUUUUCUACAAAAA
Molecule: non-coding RNA, 1463 nt
Organism: Lolium perenne
Lineage: Eukaryota; Viridiplantae; Streptophyta; Magnoliopsida; Poales; Poaceae
Source: RefSeq, a predicted model, not a curated record